GGGAAACCGGGGCUAAUACCGGAUAACAUUUUGAACUGCAUGGUUCGAAAUUGAAAGGCGGCUUCGGCUGUCACUUAUGGAUGGACCCGCGUCGCAUUAGCUAGUUGGUGAGGUAACGGCUCACCAAGGCAACGAUGCGUAGCCGACCUGAGAGGGUGAUCGGCCACACUGGGACUGAGACACGGCCCAGACUCCUACGGGAGGCAGCAGUAGGGAAUCUUCCGCAAUGGACGAAAGUCUGACGGAGCAACGCCGCGUGAGUGAUGAAGGCUUUCGGGUCGUAAAACUCUGUUGUUAGGGAAGAACAAGUGCUAGUUGAAUAAGCUGGCACCUUGACGGUACCUAACCAGAAAGCCACGGCUAACUACGUGCCAGCAGCCGCGGUAAUACGUAGGUGGCAAGCGUUAUCCGGAAUUAUUGGGCGUAAAGCGCGCGCAGGUGGUUUCUUAAGUCUGAUGUGAAAGCCCACGGCUCAACCGUGGAGGGUCAUUGGAAACUGGGAGACUUGAGUGCAGAAGAGGAAAGUGGAAUUCCAUGUGUAGCGGUGAAAUGCGUAGAGAUAUGGAGGAACACCAGUGGCGAAGGCGACUUUCUGGUCUGUA
Molecule: ribosomal RNA, 602 nt
Filed under: bacterium J94
Lineage: Bacteria
Description: bacterial SSU rRNA
Rfam family: Bacterial small subunit ribosomal RNA
Source: RNAcentral